UUUUGAUGAGCUUUACUUUAAUAUUUAAAUCUAGCAGUGCUUUGUUCCCUCAUCUUGAGUCAUCUGAUCAUUUGAGUCUGAUUUUGAAUGUUUGCAUGGAGUUGAUCAAUAUUUAAUAAAGCAGAUAUUUCCAUGAGCACUCAGUGAGUUUAAUAAGUUCAUGUCAGAUCCUUGUUGUCUUGUUGUGUUCUGUGUACGUUCCUGAGACUUUUCUGAGCAGCACUCUGGACUCUGCGUGUCCACCAUUCAGCUGGAUUAUCAUAUUCAUAUUUCAGAUGAGAACAGAGCUGAUUUCUAUAAAGAUGGCGUCUUCAUCAGGAGCAGCUCCACAGGAAACAUGACCAUCCACAGUGUUUCUCCAUCUGAUGAAGGACUCUACAGAUGUAACUGUGUCUCUGGAGCUGGAGGAUCAGCAGACAGCUGGCUGACUGUCAGAGCGCCUCCUGCAGGCCGUGAUCCUCCACCUCCUCUGCUGUCUGUCUCCGCUCUGCUGCGCCACCUGGUGGCUGGAGCUCCUGACCUGCUGUUCACCAUC
Molecule: long non-coding RNA, 535 nt
Organism: Epinephelus fuscoguttatus (brown-marbled grouper)
Lineage: Eukaryota; Metazoa; Chordata; Actinopteri; Perciformes; Serranidae
Exons: 3
Source: RefSeq, a predicted model, not a curated record